AUUGAACGCUGGCGGCAGGCCUAACACAUGCAAGUCGAACGAGUGGCGGACGGGUGAGUAAUGUCUGGGAAACUGCCUGAUGGAGGGGGAUAACUACUGGAAACGGUAGCUAAUACCGCAUACCAUCGGAUGUGCCCAGAUGGGAAUAGCGAGGAGGUGGGGUAAAGGCUCACCUAGGCGACGAUCCCUAGCUGGUCUGAGAGGAUGACCGGCCACACUGGAACUGGGACACGGUCCUGACUCCUACGGGAGGCAGCAGUGUGGAAUAUUGCACAAUGGGCGCAAUCCUUAUGCAGCCAUGCGGCGUGUAUGAAGAAGGCCUUCGGGUUGUAAAGUACUUUCAGCGGGGAGGCGUUACCCGCAGAAGAAGCACCGGCUAACUCCGUGCCAGCAGCCGCGGUAAUAC
RNAcentral lists this ribosomal RNA (406 nucleotides) under uncultured bacterium. RNAcentral's name for it is "partial 16S ribosomal RNA". It matches the Rfam family "Bacterial small subunit ribosomal RNA", at positions 30 to 526 of the family's 1533-position model. The record is from RNAcentral.